GUGCUUGCUUCAGCAGCAUAUAUAUUAAAAUUGGAAGGAUACGGAGAAGAUUAGCAAGGCCCCCGUGCAAGGAUAACACGCAAAUUUAUGAAACGUUCCAUUAAAAA
Camelus dromedarius (Arabian camel) is the source of this 107-nucleotide small nuclear RNA. NCBI's taxonomy places the organism in Eukaryota, Metazoa, Chordata, Mammalia, Artiodactyla, Camelidae. The record is from Ensembl.